This 1100-nucleotide long non-coding RNA is filed under the name Homo sapiens (human). RNAcentral describes it as "non-protein coding lnc-JPH1-8:1". Lineage: Eukaryota; Metazoa; Chordata; Mammalia; Primates; Hominidae. The record is from RNAcentral.
CGCUUAUAAACAACAGAAAUUUAUUUCUCAUAGUUCUGGAGGCUGACAACUCCAAGAUCAAGGUACUGACAAAUCCAGUAUCUGGUGAGGAUGUGUUUCCUGGCUCAUGGAUGGUGCCUUUUCAUUAAGUCCUGAAAGACUAGUUGGAAAGGGAAAGGCAGCUCUCUGAAGCCUCUUUUAUAAGGACGCUAAUCCCAUUCAUGAGGGCUUCGUCCUUUUGACCUAAUCACCUUCCAAAGGCCCCACUUCCUAAUGCCAUCACACUGGGGAUUAGUUUUCAAUAGAUGAAUUUUAGAGCAACACAAACAUUCAGACCAUUUCAAGCCACCUCCACUUGGAGAUACCCUGGGAGAACUUGACAAUCUCCAAUGGAGAAUGCAUUCAAACCACCAUAGAAAUACAAAAAUAGAUGCAGGGAAGAAUUUUUUUUAAAGCCCGUCCUCAGAGAAGACAAUAAAACAGAUAUACUUUCACUCUUCCUCUUUUCUUAUUUUGGAACAUACAGGCCUCGAGUGAGGUGUUUUAAUAGUUGGCUUUAUUUAGAUUUGACUGAAGAUGCAAUUAAAUCCACUCCCAUGUUAGAGUUUUCCACAGCAUUGCAGACACGCCCACAUACAUUAGGGCAACAGGAAAUUACUAAAUGGCAAUGCGCUAGUGUCACUCAUAUGAAAGCAGGAUUGUGUGACCCUAUGUUUAACCUCAACAUACUGUAUUGCAUGCAUACUCACAGCAACUUAGCUUAGGACAGCUACACAAUGAAGUUGUCUUUUAUACAAAGGGAUUGAUUAUUUCUCUUCAUCCAAUUUACUAUUGUUCUUCAAGAAGAGAAAGGACAUGAAAUUAAGAUUCCUGUAUUCUGGGUGUUUAAUACCCAGACUGUUUAAUAUCCAGGUGUUUAAUAUCCACCUCUGACACAUACUGGAACCUUUACAUGUAAGUCAGAUACAGUACUUGGACAGGACCAGGUCCCUGAACUUAAAAGUAAGAUUGGUAGACACUAAAUUGCACCACAUUUGAAAUAUGUUAUUGAAGUGGUGUCCAUACUCACUAACAUGCUUAAAAAUUCUGAUCAAAGCCCAGGUUUAUCUUCUAUAAAAUAA